Molecule: long non-coding RNA, 451 nt
Filed under: Zostera marina
Lineage: Eukaryota; Viridiplantae; Streptophyta; Magnoliopsida; Alismatales; Zosteraceae
Description: long non-coding RNA (ZMAR_LNC005256)
Source: RNAcentral
UUCCCGUAAUAUGGGAAACGUUCUCCCAUACCCCUCUUGGUCAUUUCUAUGUUCUGGUGAUCUUGAUCGGCUUUGCUCCGACCAACUUGCAGCCAUCCCAUCUUCUGGUAUUGCCUCUUCAAAGAACCGGGAAUUUUCGCACGUACGCUGCUGAGGGUGAUAAGGUGCCUCUUCGAUAUUUUCUUCUAAACGCACCUGUUCGCUUAUACCUUGGCUUUCACGAGUAACUGUUGACAGCCGAUUCCCGUGUGUCUCUGCCGCCAAGUUUUCUAGGUUUUCCUCCAUCUGAAUUACCCGCUCCGGUUGCUCUGCAUCCAUCUUUUCGUGUUCGAUUCACGUCAGGUUCACCACUGAUCGCGUCCCUUUAGAAAGGUGGCCGAUCUCUCCUACUCUCGUAUAAACACAAGUGUAUUACAAGUAUAUUUCAAAUGUUACUACCAGUCAAUCCCCU